This 476-nucleotide ribosomal RNA is filed under the name uncultured bacterium. Its description in RNAcentral is "partial 16S ribosomal RNA". It matches the Rfam family "Bacterial small subunit ribosomal RNA", at positions 28 to 523 of the family's 1533-position model. The record is from RNAcentral.
GAUGAACGCUGGCGGCGUGCUUAACACAUGCAAGUCGAGCGAGUGAGUUCUUCGGAACGAUCUAGCGGCGGACGGGUGAGUAACACGUGGGCAACCUGCCUCAUAGAGGGGAAUAGCCUCCCGAAAGGGAGAUUAAUACCGCAUAACAUCGUUGAAGGGCAUCCUUCGAUGAUCAAAGGAGCAAUCCGCUAUGAGAUGGGCCCGCGGCGCAUUAGCUAGUUGGUGAGGUAACGGCUCACCAGGGCGACGAUGCGUAGCCGACCUGAGAGGGUGAUCGGCCACAUUGGGACUGAGACACGGCCCAGACUCCUACGGGAGGCAGCAGUGGGGAAUAUUGCACAAUGGGGGAAACCCUGAUGCAGCAACGCCGCGUGAGUGAUGACGGCCUUCGGGAUGUAAAGCUCUGUCUUUGGGGACGAUAAUGACGGUACCCAAGGAGGAAGUCACGGCUAACUACGUGCCAGCCGCCGCGGUAA